This 207-nucleotide ribosomal RNA is filed under the name uncultured Shewanella sp. RNAcentral describes it as "partial 16S ribosomal RNA". It matches the Rfam family "Bacterial small subunit ribosomal RNA", at positions 568 to 774 of the family's 1533-position model. Lineage: Bacteria; Pseudomonadati; Pseudomonadota; Gammaproteobacteria; Alteromonadales; Shewanellaceae. The record is from RNAcentral.
CAUGCAGGCGGUUUAUUAAGCCAGAUGUGAAAGCCCCGGGCUUAACCUGGGAAUUGCAUUUGGAACUGGUAAACUAGAGUCUUGUAGAGGGGGGUAGAAUUUCAGGUGUAGCGGUGAAAUGCGUAGAGAUCUGAAGGAAUACCGGUGGCGAAGGCGGCCCCCUGGACAAAGACUGACGCUCAGAUGCGAAAGCGUGGGGAGCAAACA